RNAcentral lists this long non-coding RNA (319 nucleotides) under Mus musculus (house mouse). RNAcentral describes it as "long non-coding RNA chr7:92637207-92637526". The record is from RNAcentral. Lineage: Eukaryota; Metazoa; Chordata; Mammalia; Rodentia; Muridae.
CCUUUUUCGGGGUUUAGCCUGUGGAAAGCCGCGCUGCUCUGGUACCGAGUGGUUUUCGGUGGGUUUUUAAUUUUUGUUUUGUUUUCUCAGUCUCACAGGAGCCUGCCGAGGCUUGUUUCUGGAACCCCCUGUCGUGGGUAUCGCCCCCAAAUGGAGGUCCCAGGACUGCGGUUCGCGGAGCUGACCUGUGUGCCUGCCCUCAUGGGGCCUUUUCGUCCUUGGCAAGCCUGGUCUACUAUUUCAAUGCUGGUUUGAAAGAAAAUCCGUCUUGAUCCCAUGGCUUCGCAAACGGAGAACAAUCCCUAUAGGGGGCGGUAGC